GGUGCUUGCACCCACCGAGAAAGAGGAGUGGCGGACGGGUGAGUAACACGUGGGCAACCUGCCCAUCAGAGGGGGAUAACACUUGGAAACAGGUGCUAAUACCGCAUAAUUCUUUUUGUCGCCUGACAGAAAGAUAAAAGACGCUUUCGGGUGUCACUGAUGGAUGGGCCCGCGCUGCAUUAGCUAGUUGGUGGGGUAACGGCUCACCAAGGCCAUGAUGCAUAGCCGACCUGAGAGGGUGAUCGGCCACACUGGGACUGAGACACGGCCCAGACUCCUACGGGAGGCAGCAGUAGGGAAUCUUCGGCAAUGGACGAAAGUCUGACCGAGCAACGCCGCGUGAGUGAAGAAGGUUUUCGGAUCGUAAAACUCUGUUGUUAGAGAAGAACAAGUGAGAGAGUAACUGUUCUCACCUUGACGGUAUCUAACCAGAAAGCCACGGCUAACUACGUGCCAGCAGCCGCGGUAAUACGUAGGUGGCAAGCGUUGUCCGGAUUUAUUGGGCGUAAAGCGAGCGCAGGCGGUUCCUUAAGUCUGAUGUGAAAGCCCCCGGCUCAACCGGGGAAGGUCAUUGGAAACUGGGGAACUUGAGUGCAGAAGAGGAGAGUGGAAUUCCAUGUGUAGCGGUGAAAUGCGUAGAUAUAUGGAGGAACACCAGUGGCGAAGGCGACU
This 672-nucleotide ribosomal RNA is filed under the name Vagococcus sp. T269. RNAcentral's name for it is "bacterial SSU rRNA". It matches the Rfam family "Bacterial small subunit ribosomal RNA", at positions 75 to 726 of the family's 1533-position model. Lineage: Bacteria; Bacillati; Bacillota; Bacilli; Lactobacillales; Enterococcaceae. The record is from RNAcentral.